Molecule: transfer RNA, 88 nt
Filed under: Salmonella enterica subsp. indica
Lineage: Bacteria; Pseudomonadati; Pseudomonadota; Gammaproteobacteria; Enterobacterales; Enterobacteriaceae
Description: tRNA-???(gt)
Source: RNAcentral
GCUCAGGUAGGGGAGGGGCGCUCUCCGCCGUGACGGAGGCUAUGCUUUCCGGGGCGUAGACCAGCGUUCUGACCGUGGUUUGUGUUCC